This 67-nucleotide transfer RNA is filed under the name Rhizobium sp. BK196. RNAcentral describes it as "tRNA-Arg". Lineage: Bacteria; Pseudomonadati; Pseudomonadota; Alphaproteobacteria; Hyphomicrobiales; Rhizobiaceae. The record is from RNAcentral.
UGUUUCAAUGGUCUCCCCCACAUUCCUAAUCUGGGGGUCGCGCGUUCGAAUCGCGCCGGGAUCACCA